Molecule: ribosomal RNA, 166 nt
Filed under: uncultured bacterium
Lineage: Bacteria
Description: partial 16S rRNA
Rfam family: Bacterial small subunit ribosomal RNA
Source: RNAcentral
UAGGGAAUCUUCGGCAAUGGGGGGCAACCCUGACCGAGCAACGCCGCGUGAGUGAAGAAGGUUUUCGGAUCGUAAAGCUCUGUUGUAAGAGAAGAACGUGUGUGAGGGUGGAAAGUUCACACAGUGACGGUAACUUACCAGAAAGGGACGGCUAACUACGUGCCAG